GGUAAAAGCCUAAAUGUCUAAGUGUCUGAGUAUGUUCAGUGUAAUAUUUGGUGUUUUCUCCCCACAGCAGCUGUGAAUACAUUUCUUGUUUGUGGCCAUGACUUCUAUAUUCAAGUACUUCCAAAGAUCCUCCCAGUUGCUGAGGACCAUUCUGCACUCCUGCAUUAAUAGCCCUCAGGCUGACCUGGGUCUGUGGCUGGUGGGCAGGCCAGUCCAAAGGAGACUUUGAUGAGCACGGGCUUCCAGGAGGACUGAGCCGCCUUGCUGCUGUAAGUUCAAAUGGUAAAUUAACCUCUUGUUAGCUCAGGAAUGUUCUCUCAUGGGCCCUUUGGAACCCAUUUCUUUGAAAUGUAAUCCCAUCUCUUGGUUUUCUGGGACAAGAUGGGCCUA
This 390-nucleotide long non-coding RNA is filed under the name Vulpes vulpes (red fox). RNAcentral's name for it is "lncRNA (ENSVVUG00000019692.1)". The record is from RNAcentral. Lineage: Eukaryota; Metazoa; Chordata; Mammalia; Carnivora; Canidae.